UACGGAGGGAGCAAGCGUUACUCGGAAUUAUUGGGCGUAAAGGGCGCGUAGGCGAUUUGAAAAGUCUUGUGUGAAAGCCCCGAGCUUAACUCGGGAAGUGCACAAGAAACUGUUGAAUUUGAGUUCCGGAGAGGAAGGCAGAAUUCCCGGUGUAGCGGUGAAAUGCGUAGAUAUCGGGAGGAAUACCAGUGGCGAAGGCGGCCUUCUGGACGGAUACUGACGCUGAGACGCGAAAGCGUGGGGAGCGAACAGG
RNAcentral lists this ribosomal RNA (253 nucleotides) under uncultured bacterium. RNAcentral's name for it is "partial 16S ribosomal RNA". It matches the Rfam family "Bacterial small subunit ribosomal RNA", at positions 524 to 776 of the family's 1533-position model. The record is from RNAcentral.